This 497-nucleotide ribosomal RNA is filed under the name uncultured bacterium. RNAcentral describes it as "partial 16S ribosomal RNA". It matches the Rfam family "Bacterial small subunit ribosomal RNA", at positions 28 to 507 of the family's 1533-position model. The record is from RNAcentral.
GAUGAACGCUGGCGGCGUGCCUAAUACAUGCAAGUCGAGCGAACAGAUGAGGAGCUUGCUCCUCUGACGUUAGCGGCGGACGGGUGAGUAACACGUGGAUAACCUACCUAUAAGACUGGGAUAACUUCGGGAAACCGGAGCUAAUACCGGAUAAUAUAUUUAACCGCAUGGUUCAAUAGUGAAAGACGGUUUUGCUGUCACUUAUAGAUGGAUCCGCGCCGCAUUAGCUAGUUGGUAAGGUAACGGCUUACCAACGCAACGAUGGGUAGCCGACCUGAGAGGGUGGUCGGCCACACGGGCACUGAGACACGGUCCAGACUCCUACGGGAGGCAGCAGUAGGGAAUCUUCCGCAAUGGGCGAAAGCGUGACGGAGCAACGCGGCGUGAGUGAUGAAGGUCUUCGGAUCGUAAAACUCUGUUAUUAGGGAAGAACAAAUGUGUAAGUAACUAUGCACGUCUUGACGGUACCUAAUCAGAAAGCCACGGCUAACUACGUG